Molecule: ribosomal RNA, 465 nt
Filed under: Vreelandella stevensii
Lineage: Bacteria; Pseudomonadati; Pseudomonadota; Gammaproteobacteria; Oceanospirillales; Halomonadaceae
Description: partial 16S ribosomal RNA
Rfam family: Bacterial small subunit ribosomal RNA
Source: RNAcentral
CCUACGGGCGGCUGCAGUGGGGAAUAUUGGACAAUGGGGGGAACCCUGAUCCAGCCAUGCCGCGUGUGUGAAGAAGGCCCUCGGGUUGUAAAGCACUUUCAGUGAGGAAGAACGCCAGGUGGUUAAUACCCAUCAGGAAAGACAUCACUCACAGAAGAAGCACCGGCUAACUCCGUGCCAGCAGCCGCGGUAAUACGGAGGGUGCGAGCGUUAAUCGGAAUUACUGGGCGUAAAGCGCGCGUAGGUGGCUUGAUAAGCCGGUUGUGAAAGCCCCGGGCUCAACCUGGGAACGGCAUCCGGAACUGUCAAGCUAGAGUGCAGGAGAGGAAGGUAGAAUUCCCGGUGUAGCGGUGAAAUGCGUAGAGAUCGGGAGGAAUACCAGUGGCGAAGGCGGCCUUCUGGACUGACACUGACACUGAGGUGCGAAAGCGUGGGUAGCAAACAGGAUUAGAUACCCUUGUAGUC